CGAUACACGUCGCGCAAAAGUUUUCCGAGAUGCCCGGCCGCGUUCGCAGUCGGGGAACGUAUCACGUUCGCUCCGCAGAGCGUAAUACAUUACUACGGGCGGCGCACCCUUGCGCGGGCCGUCGCCAGAAGGACACUGCUCGAUUCCUCCCCCCCCCCACCAUCCCACUCGUUCUUCGGAACGUAAAAAUCGCGAUCGCGGUAGGUAGUGGGUAGAACGACGCUCUUGUGCACGCGCUCUCCUUAUCGAUCUCGUCAACACGACGCGACGCGCUCAAUGUAAAUAUAAUAUCAUACAUGUACGUGUGGUGCGCGUAUAUCUACGUGCGUGCGUGUUGAAUAAUAACGUCGCGGACCGUACGCGUCGAGUGGCCCGUCUCGCGAGUCCC
Non-coding RNA from Cinara cedri, 388 nucleotides. The record is from the annotation of a GenBank genome assembly. NCBI's taxonomy places the organism in Eukaryota, Metazoa, Arthropoda, Insecta, Hemiptera, Aphididae.